UACGUAGGGUGCGAGCGUUAAUCGGAAUUACUGGGCGUAAAGCGUGCGCAGGCGGUUCGUUGUGUCGGUGGUGAAAGCCCCGGGCUUAACCUGGGAAUGGCCAUGGAAACUGGCGAACUGGAGUGUGGCAGAGGGGGGUGGAAUUCCGCGUGUAGCAGUGAAAUGCGUAGAGAUGUGGAGGAACACCGAUGGCGAAGGCAGCCCCCUGGGCUAGCACUGACGCUCAGGCACGAAAGCGUGGGGAGCAAACAGG
RNAcentral lists this ribosomal RNA (253 nucleotides) under uncultured bacterium. RNAcentral describes it as "partial 16S ribosomal RNA". It matches the Rfam family "Bacterial small subunit ribosomal RNA", at positions 524 to 776 of the family's 1533-position model. The record is from RNAcentral.